GGGCCGGUAGUCUAGUUUGGAUAGGGCGUUGGCCUUCGGAGCCAAAAGUCGCAGGUUCAACUCCUGCUCGGCCCA
This 75-nucleotide transfer RNA is filed under the name Promethearchaeota archaeon. RNAcentral's name for it is "Candidatus Lokiarchaeota archaeon (microbial mat metagenome) tRNA-Arg". It matches the Rfam family "tRNA". Rfam says of the family: Transfer RNA (tRNA) molecules are approximately 80 nucleotides in length. Their secondary structure includes four short double-helical elements and three loops (D, anti-codon, and T loops). Lineage: Archaea; Promethearchaeati; Promethearchaeota. The record is from RNAcentral.